RNAcentral lists this ribosomal RNA (765 nucleotides) under uncultured Streptococcus sp. RNAcentral describes it as "bacterial SSU rRNA". It matches the Rfam family "Bacterial small subunit ribosomal RNA", at positions 28 to 776 of the family's 1533-position model. Lineage: Bacteria; Bacillati; Bacillota; Bacilli; Lactobacillales; Streptococcaceae. The record is from RNAcentral.
GACGAACGCUGGCGGCGUGCCUAAUACAUGCAAGUAGAACGCUGAAGAGAGGAGCUUGCUCUUCUUGGAUGAGUUGCGAACGGGUGAGUAACGCGUAGGUAACCUGCCUUGUAGCGGGGGAUAACUAUUGGAAACGAUAGCUAAUACCGCAUAACAAUGGGUGACACAUGUCAUUUAUUUGAAAGGGGCAAUUGCUCCACUACAAGAUGGACCUGCGUUGUAUUAGCUAGUAGGUGAGGUAACGGCUCACCUAGGCGACGAUACAUAGCCGACCUGAGAGGGUGAUCGGCCACACUGGGACUGAGACACGGCCCAGACUCCUACGGGAGGCAGCAGUAGGGAAUCUUCGGCAAUGGGGGCAACCCUGACCGAGCAACGCCGCGUGAGUGAAGAAGGUUUUCGGAUCGUAAAGCUCUGUUGUAAGUCAAGAACGAGUGUGAGAGUGGAAAGUUCACACUGUGACGGUAGCUUACCAGAAAGGGACGGCUAACUACGUGCCAGCAGCCGCGGUAAUACGUAGGUCCCGAGCGUUGUCCGGAUUUAUUGGGCGUAAAGCGAGCGCAGGCGGUUUGAUAAGUCUGAAGUUAAAGGCUGUGGCUCAACCAUAGUUCGCUUUGGAAACUGUCAAACUUGAGUGCAGAAGGGGAGAGUGGAAUUCCAUGUGUAGCGGUGAAAUGCGUAGAUAUAUGGGGGAACACCGGUGGCGAAAGCGGCUCUCUGGUCUGUAACUGACGCUGAGGCUCGAAAGCGUGGGGAGCGAACAGG